GUCUUCGGCAAUAGUCGGCUUUGGUCUGGAGAUCCACCACAUCUCUGCCUGCUCAGCCCAGGUGUUGUUCAAGGUGAAAGGUGCCUCCAUUUCAUCUCCUGUUCCCUCUCGCCUCUGUUUAAAAAAACAUCCACUAAUCUCAAACCAUGUCUGGAUGCCUGAUAAACUGGCCUGUGGCAAAGACGACCGACUAUUUUUCUGACCUCAUGAUGCAAUCUAUUUGGACCUAAUGAG
This 234-nucleotide long non-coding RNA is filed under the name Mustela putorius furo (domestic ferret). Its description in RNAcentral is "lncRNA (ENSMPUG00000027516.1)". The record is from RNAcentral. Lineage: Eukaryota; Metazoa; Chordata; Mammalia; Carnivora; Mustelidae.